RNAcentral lists this ribosomal RNA (497 nucleotides) under uncultured bacterium. Its description in RNAcentral is "partial 16S ribosomal RNA". It matches the Rfam family "Bacterial small subunit ribosomal RNA", at positions 28 to 507 of the family's 1533-position model. The record is from RNAcentral.
GAUGAACGCUGGCGGCGUGCCUAAUACAUGCAAGUCGAGUGAACGGACGAGAAGCUUGCUUCUCUGAUGUUAGCGGCGGACGGGUGAGUAACACGUGGAUAACCUACCUAUAAGACUGGGAUAACUUCGGGAAACCGGAGCUAAUACCGGAUAAUAUUUUGAACCGCAUGGUUCAAAAGUGAAAGACGGUCUUGCUGUCACUUAUAGAUGGAUCCGCGCUGCAUUAGCUAGUUGGUAAGGUAACGGCUUACCAAGGCAACGAUGCAUAGCCGACCUGAGAGGGUGGUCGGCCACACUGGAACUGAGACACGGUCCAGACUCCUACGGGAGGCAGCAGUAGGGAAUCUUCCGCAAUGGGCGAAAGCCUGACGGAGCAACGCCGCGUGAGUGAUGAAGGUCUUCGGAUCGUAAAACUCUGUUAUUAGGGAAGAACAUAUGUGUAAGUAACUGUGCACAUCUUGACGGUACCUAAUCAGAAAGCCACGGCUAACUACGUG